Molecule: long non-coding RNA, 1003 nt
Filed under: Physeter macrocephalus (sperm whale)
Lineage: Eukaryota; Metazoa; Chordata; Mammalia; Artiodactyla; Physeteridae
Description: Physeter catodon (sperm whale) lncRNA (ENSPCTG00005005771.1)
Source: RNAcentral
CUACUCAGUCAGUAGGUACAGGCCUCUCCAGGGCAACCCGCCCAAGCUCAUUUCCCUUCCCACCGCACCCCAUGCCAUUUCCGCCGUCCCAUCAGCGCCCCACCCUGACAAUCCCCAGCCCCAGAUCAAUCCAACCACCAGCUCUGUUGCCAAAAGUGGCUUAAAAAUCCUGCACAAUCCGAUGAUUUGGGUUGAAGCCGCUCCCAAACUGUGAUUUACAGCCCCAUGGCGGGCAACUUUCAGCCACUGCUCUCACUGCUGAGCCCCGUGGGUGUUUCUUGGUCCUGGCCUUCCAUGAUCCCCCAGCAGAGCCCAAGCUGCCCAUCACUGCCUCCUCCAACCUGGUUUGUAAUCCUCCCUUUCUGGCCUCUCCUCUCUUGGGAGGCUCUUCUUCCUCCUCUUACUCCUUAAGAAGCCGUGUUCCCAGGGCUCUGUUCUCAGCCUCUCUCCUCUCUCCCUGGGGACAUCCUGCUCCCGAGGUCUCCCUUGGCCAACACCAAACUCUGUCUCUUGAGCUCCAGAACUCUUCUUCCAACUGUGAAUGUCUCUACCAAGGUGUCUGCCAGCACCUGAAACUCACCUAUCUGGAACCACAUUAUGCUCCCUACCCCUGCCCCAAACUACCUCCAUUCAUGUCCGCAGCUCAGGGUGAUUUCUCUGCCUCCUCCCUCUCCCCUCCUCAUCAUCCUCUGUUCAGACCCUCACUCUGCCUUUUCUGGGCCCUUCUGCCCUCUCCUAAUAGAACUCCCUGCCUCCACCCUAGCCUCACUCCAGCCCUUCCUCCUCAGGAGCCGUUAGUCCUUCUAAGGCAAGGCAGGAAUCUAAUCACCUCCAGACUCUGCAGGACCCCACCCCCACCAGGAUAAAGCACAGACACAGGGCCCUUCACAACCUGCCUACUGCCCCCCCUGCCCCAACACAGCCUUCACUCUGGCAAUGCUGCCCUCUGACCCCUCCCUCGAUAGGACUAGCACUGGCAGCCCUUAGUCCCACCCCCACCCCC